This 265-nucleotide long non-coding RNA is filed under the name Ricinus communis (castor bean). RNAcentral describes it as "long non-coding RNA (RCOM_LNC002253)". Lineage: Eukaryota; Viridiplantae; Streptophyta; Magnoliopsida; Malpighiales; Euphorbiaceae. The record is from RNAcentral.
UGCACCUCAUCAUCACCAUCCAUGCAUUCACCAGAAUUACUGCCAUUUCCUUUAUCCUUUCCCAAUAAUGGGAGCAAUGAAAUCCAAAGUAACGGGUAGUCGUCCAUCGUCGUCGGUGUUGUUGAUAUUAGCUGCAGCAGCACUACUGAUGGUUGCAUUUCUGGUUACCAUGACCAAUUUCAGGAGAUCUUACUAUUGUUUGACCAUUUCUAUUAGGUCUUUCAUCUGAUCUCCAACACUAGCCAUCUCUGCUUGUAGUGUUUGC